UCUGUUUUGAUUCCUUCCUGUCUGUUUGUAGAAACCAGACAGCUGGGCUGGUUUCCAUAACAUGUUUAAACUGCUAAAAUAAACAUGACUUGUGCUCCUAAUUUAUUUUUAACAGUUGCAGCAAGUGCUGUCUUACUGAUUGUCAAGACGUGCUAGAGAAAUAGGGCAGGGCUGUGAAGAAUUACUCAACUUUGUCUCAUUUUAUGCCAAACUCCGUGGUAGUCCUCCAAGUCUCGUUUGUCAACGAUGGUCUUCAAGGAGAAUCCAGACAUGUAAAUGCUUUCAUUUUUAAUAUUUUCCUCCUGUGUCUUUGAAACAUCUUAAAAGCCUGAAAAAGAGUCAAUUGUUGGUAUUGCCAGGUGUUCCAACAAGCAGAUGCAAAUUCUAUUCAUAAGAUUUGUAUCAGAAGUGCAUCAUUUGUUUCUUGACUGGCAGAAUAUACGUUUGUCCCGUUUGUCCUGCAUAAAAUCUGAAGGAGCAUUGUUGGUGGAUGAUGGCAUAUAUUACCUUAGAGGAAGAAGCAGAAUCCAUUGGUCAGAAGUCCCAGAACAUUCCCCACUGUCCAGUCAGAACUGAAAAAGCUACUUGGAUGAAAAGUGAAAUGUCUUCAAAGAAAAACCAGAAAGUGCAGUUGUCUCUUGAAAAAGCACCUUUGGGACAACCAUGACCUGGAUGACUGAGAAUCUCCAUAGGCCAUUGGUCAGAAGUGAACAUUUCUUAAGAAAUACCUUGUUCAUCUCUUUAAAUUUGUAAAUAAAAAAAUCAAUGUU
This is a long non-coding RNA of Pantherophis guttatus, 770 nucleotides long. RefSeq lists it as uncharacterized. The record is from RefSeq and is a predicted model, not a curated record. NCBI's taxonomy places the organism in Eukaryota, Metazoa, Chordata, Lepidosauria, Squamata, Colubridae.